GGGUUAGUAGGUUGGUCAUGCCUCUGGUAUGUACUGAUCUCAUUGAUUCCUCCCUCUUGACGAACUGUAAUGUCGUUAAUUUGGUGUUGCAGGAAAUCAGGACUGUUACUUUGAAAAAAUUAGAGUGUUUAAAGCAGGCUAACGCUUGAAUACAUUAGCAUGGAAUAAUGAAAUAGGACGUUUGAUCCUAUUUUGUUGGUUUCUAGGAUUGACGUAAUGAUUAAUAGGGAUAGUUGGGCUG
Molecule: ribosomal RNA, 241 nt
Filed under: uncultured Glomeromycotina
Lineage: Eukaryota; Fungi; Glomeromycota
Description: partial 18S ribosomal RNA
Rfam family: Eukaryotic small subunit ribosomal RNA
Source: RNAcentral